This 460-nucleotide ribosomal RNA is filed under the name uncultured bacterium. RNAcentral describes it as "partial 16S ribosomal RNA". It matches the Rfam family "Bacterial small subunit ribosomal RNA", at positions 338 to 795 of the family's 1533-position model. The record is from RNAcentral.
CCUACGGGAGGCAGCAGUGAGGAAUCUUGGUCAAUGGCCGUAAGGCUGAACCAGCCAAGUCGCGUGAAGGAAGAAGGAUCUAUGGUUUGUAAACUUCUUUUAUAGGGGAAUAAAAGUAUCCACGUGUGGAUAUUUGCAUGUACCCUAUGAAUAAGCAUCGGCUAACUCCGUCCCCGCAGCCGCGGUACUACGGAGGAUUCGAGCGUUAUCCUGAUUUCUUGGUGUUAAAGGGUGCGUAGGUUGUUUUUGAAGUCAGCGGUGAAAGUUUGUGGCUAAACCAUAAAAUUGCCGUUGAAACUGGAAGACGUGAGUGUGUUUGAGGUAGGCGGAAUGCGUGGUGUAGCGGUGAAAUGCAUAGAUAUCACGCAGAACUCCGAUUGCGAAGGCAGCUCACUAAGCCAUAACUGACACUGAAGCACGAAAGCGUGGGGAUCAAACAGGAUUAGAUACCCCUGUAGUC